Molecule: non-coding RNA, 13387 nt
Organism: Monodelphis domestica (gray short-tailed opossum)
Lineage: Eukaryota; Metazoa; Chordata; Mammalia; Didelphimorphia; Didelphidae
Source: RefSeq, a predicted model, not a curated record
CCCACGGCAUUGGUGAUUGGCCGCCCGCGAGCCCAGAGCAUGUGAAGGCGAAGGCAAAGGCGAAGGCGAAGGUUCGAACGUUGCUUGGAUAACAGUUGCGAACUACAUUCGACUGGUGUCCAGGGGUCUUGGGGCUUGAGUUCUCAGUGGCCACUGGGCUUCUCUCCUUAGGCAGCGGAGCCUCUACUAGGCUUUGUCUGGGUCCCAUGGCGUGUCUGUCUUGUCUCUCUUCUCUCCCAUCCAUUGCCAGCCCUCGGGAGACCCGGAGACAAGCGGGGCUGAGCGCGCGAGUUUUGACGUCAGCACCCCUUCGGUGAGGCUCCCUUUCUUCUCCCGCCAACCCAGCCCCAACUUCCAUUUGCCCCCAUCAUGCAGCACACCCUCUUCCCUCUGCCUAGAUUCAGCUCUGCAAGCCUGCCAACUCUGUCUCGGACUCCAUGCCCUCCCGCCCACUCCUUUCCCUCUCCACAGUGGCUGUUGACCAUCCCUGGAGGUGGACAUGGAUGGAAGGGACCACAGACACCAGCACAGAUGCCUAGGGAUCCUCAGCUGUCUCUCCAGCUUCCAUUACUCUCUAAAACCUCCCAGUUGGAAGGCUCCCAUAUGUCCUCAGUCUAUUCCUGUCAAGGGCUCUUCUUCCCCUCCCUGUCUCUUCUCUCUGACCCUCUCUCUCUCUCUUUCUCUCUCUCUCUCUCUCUCUCUCUCUCUCUCUCUCUCUCUCUCUCUCUCUCUCUCUCUCUCUCUCUCUCUCUCUCUCCUCUCUGUCCCUCUCUCUUUCUGCUUAGGAGACUGUAAAGCUUCUCUCUACAGUCCUCCAUGCAGAAGGAUAUUGUCUACUUGAAUUAUGUGAUUCCUAUUCCUGAUUUUAUUCUUUCAUAUAGAGCAAAGAUUUGCACUUCUCUAUAUGAAUAUGGAAUGGGACAAGUCCUAGGAAGAGAAGAGAAGGAUAGUCUUCCUCCACAGGAGUACACAGUCCCUCUUGGUGUAUAGGGCUCAUCCUCCCUGAGGAGUCAUUAUAUGUCCUCCUGAGUAUUCCUUUACAUAUUUAUAUUCUCCAUAUGUUCUCCCCCUUUGGUCCUCUCCAUAGGAGAAGAGGUGUAUAAUAUGUCAGAUUCUCUGAGGUGAUUGUGCCGCGGUGAGUAUUGCUGUGUGGGUUUCUGGUACAACAACAUCUCUUUAUCCAACUUUAUAAGAAAGAGGCUGGAAUAUGACCAGCUGAGAGGGGUUUUUACAGGCUCCAGGUUCUUCUUUUUGGCUUCCCUUUUUCUUUGCACCACUGCCAGUCUCUUCUCAAAUCAAUGAGUGGCUUCAGGAGACCAUGAUGGAUAUUUGGGGUCCAGGACUUUAGCAGGUCUCCCCUGGGGGUCUUUUUACAGCUCUGAUCUGGCUUCUGGCCUCAUGGCCUUUCUCUUUAGGCUGGUUGCCUGUUGAGGUCCAUGAGGCUAAUGCAGUGUGCAUGGUGGGGCAGAACCUUUCUGCUUGGGUUGGGCACUGCCCCACAAACCUGUCCACUCUAAGAAUGGAAAGGGCAGUUUUCCACUGAGCUCUGGUAAUGGGGCAGCAGCAGCAGCAGCAGCAGCAGCAGCAGCAGCAGGCUUUCUGAGUCUCCUCAUUACCCUAGAAUCCUAGGGUAGCCCAAGCAGAUGUCUUUGUCUAGGAUCCAAGUCCUCCCUCUGCUCUGCCCAUCACCUCCACCUUCUUUCCAAUCCUUGAAAGCCCAGGAAGUUUGGACCUGCUGAUCAAGUAAGUGCUGCUGGUCCUCUUAGUGGAUUCAGCUCCUCUCCAUGGAGCCUUCCUUGACCACUGCCUGUCCAAGGUUCUCCCACUUGGCCCAGCUCUUGGCCAGGACUUCCACAUUCAGCUUAGGAAAGGCUCUCCUCUCCUCUCCCUCGUUAGGCUUGGGGUGCAACUGGUGAUGGCCAUCCCCCUUCUUUCACUCAUGGAAGAAACCCAUGCUGAGAUGCUGUCGGGUUUGCUCAGACUCCUUCUGCUAAGUGUCCAUCCCAGACUGACCAAAGGCCUGGGAUUUGUUUUAUGACUUUCACUUAACACUCUGGCCAUAACUAAAGACUUCUAGAAAUUUUAUUUUCAGGAAUAAAAUGAUAGCCCUGCCUGUUUUUUUGUGCAGACGCAACAGCUCAACUCCUAAGUAUUUUAUUGAAUAAUGUUACUAUGGGCUUUCUUUGUGACCUCAAGCCUGUGAUUCCUGACUGUUGGAAAUCUUGGCAGGAAGACAGAGAGAGAGAGAGAGAGAGAGAGAGAGAGAGAGAGAGAGAGAGAGAGAGAGAGAGACAGAGACAGAGACAGAGAGACAGAGAGAGAGAGAGAGAGAGACAGAGAGAGAGAGAGAGAGAGAGACAGACAGAGACAGAGAGACACAGAGACACAGAGAGAGCCAGCCAGACAGAGAUACAGAGAAAAAGAGAGACAGACAGAGCGACACACAGAGAGACAGAGAGACAGAGUGGGGCUCACAGGUCUGUUUCCACUCCUUCAUGGCUUUGUGUAAUCUUGGCUAAGACUCUGCCCUGUUCCUGACUUCCCUUUACCAUUACAUCCAAUGGGAAAUUUGGAGCCAGAUGACCUCUGAGGUCUUUUUUAGCUCUCCAUCCCACCCAAACCUACAAGCUCUUUCAGAUUCGUGCUCCAUCAGGCCAAGAAACUCUGCCAGGCCUCCCCACCCCCAUGCCCUAUGUGACUUCCUACCCACCCAGAGACAUCGGAGGGGAGGGUUCCAUGGUUCUUUAGGUACUAGUUCCUAACUUUGUCCCUAAGUUCAACACAUGUCCAGGGGUCUUGGGUCUUGGGGUUAGUAGCCACUAUUAUUUUUUUACAUCGGUAGUCGAGACUCUAGCAGGCUUUGAGUGGGUCCCAUGGUAUCUCUCACUUCCCAUUCCCAGCCCUUACAGGACGAUGAGACAAUCAGAAGCUGACUUCAGGCUCGGUGGCUCCCUCUGAGCUCUGGUGAUGUCAGCAUCCAACUUGAUAAGGUUAUAUUUCCUCUCCUGCCAACCCAGACCCAUCCUCUAUCCACACCAACCUAGAGUCAGCUCCCUAAGCCUCCCUACACUCUCAGACUCCAUUAGCUCCUGCCCCCUCCAAAUCCUCCCCCACUCAUUUCCACCUCCCCAAUUGCUGCUGCCCGUGUCUGGAAGUGACAGGGGAUUUUGUGACUGACUACUGCCAUUGCUGUGCCUGGAGAUGGAUAGAGAGGGCCUUGGGAACCAGGAAAAAUGCCUGCUAGCCCUCAUCUGUGUGUCCAGACAUCCCCCUAAGACAUUCCUCUGUUGCCACCCCAUUAAAAAUACCUUGCCCUUGGUAUGUUCUGAAGCAGGAGGGCUCCAAUAUGGCCUCUGCCUAUUCAUGCCAAGGGGUCCUUGUCCUUUCUCUCUCUCAAUUCCUUCUGAGGAGACCUUAAAGUUUCUUUAUACAAACCUCCAUAGAAAAAGUAUUGUCUACUUCAGUUAUAUAUACAUUUAUGUGUGUAUGCAGUCAUGGUUAUACACUUUCAUUUACAGAAAAAUCAAUAUUUAUAUAUAUUUAUAUGGAAUAGAUGAUAACUCAUAUGGAGAAUAUAAACAUACUCCAGUUCUCUAUAUAAAUAUUCCCCUACUAUUUCUCUAUUCUUUAGUGCAUAUAUAUUCACUCUAUAUUAAUUUAUAUGAUUCAUUCUUCAUCAAUGAGUAUUCAUUAUAUAUUCUUUAUUUUUUUCCUUUCACUUAAGCCUAUGGACAAAACUAAAGAAGCCCAGAACCCCUGUUUCUAUAGGUAACCUGCCAGCCGUGUCCCAUUUUUUGUGAAAGCAAUAGACCAAAGCAAAGAAUUUUAUUUUAUAAAGUCACUAUGGGCUUUCUUUGUGACCUCAAGCCUGUGAUGCCUGAUUGGGGACCAUGGCCAAGGUGUAACACAGUAGACUUGUAGGGAGAAAGAGAACUCAGUUCACAGGUCUGUGCCUUCCCCUUCCUCCUUGUGUGACUUUGAACAACUUCCUGCCCUGCUCUUGACUUCUCUUACCUAUGUCCAAUGAGGAAGUUGGACCAUAUGACCUCUGAGGUCUCUGUUAGUCCUCCAUCCCAUGCCAAACCACAUGCCUUUUCAAACUUCAGUCCCAUCAGGCUGAGAAAACUCUGCCAGGCAAACAAUUUCCCUGGGGGGGGGCAGUGCCCAGCUAACUAGUUCAAUCUUUCCCCUAAGCCUUUGUGGAUUGACCUCCCAGGAGCAGAAGUAUUCCCCCACCGACACCACAUGUGAAUGACCCCUGGGGAUCCCAGCAGAGUCCAAGGAAUGACACCUAUGUUCACCCUCUAUUAAUGAAUUUGAGCCAUUCUUCAUAACUCUCGGGAGACCCGGAGACAAGCGGAGCUGAGUUCUAGCUGGAGGUGCGGCGCUGAGCGCGCGAGUGUUGACGUCAGCACCCCUUCGGUAAGGCUCCCUUUCUUCUCCUGCCAACCCAGCCCCAUCCUCCAUUCGCCCCCACCAUGCAGCACACCCCCUUCCCUCUGCCUAGAUUCAGCUCUGCCUAGAUUCAGCUCUGUAAGCCUGCCAACUCUGUCUUGGACUCCAUGCCCUCCCGCCCACUCCUUUCCCUCUCCCAAUGCCCAUCCCUGGCGCUGGACAUGGAUGGAAGGGACCACAGACACCAGCACAGAUGCCUAGGGACCCUCAGCUGUCUCUCCAGCUUCCAUUACUCUCUAAAACUUCCCAGUUGGAAAUCUCCCAUAUGUCCUCAGUCUAUUCCUGUCAAGGGCUCCUAUUCCCCUUCCUGUCUGUCUCUCUCUCUUCUCUCUCUCUUUCUGCUUAGGAGACUGUAAAGCUUCUCUGUACAGUCCUCCAUGCAGAAGGAUAUUGUCUACUUGAAUUAUGUGAUUCGUAUUCCUGAUUUUAUUCUUUCAUAUAGAGCAAAGAUUUGCACUCCUCUAUAUGAAUAUGGAAUGUGACAACUCCUAGGAAGAGGAGAGAAGGAUAGUCUUCCUCCACAGGAGUACACAGUCCCUCUUGGUAUAUAGGGCUCAUCCUCCCUGAGGAGUCAUUAUAUGUUCUCAUGUGUAUUCCUUUACAUAUUUAUAUUCUCCAUAUGUUCUCCCCCUUUGGUCCUCUCCAUAGGAGAAGAGGUGUAUAAUAUGUCAGAUUCUCUGAGGUGAUUGUGCCGCGGUGAGUAUUGCUGUGUGGGUUUCUGGUUCAACAACAUCUCUUUAUCCAACUUUAUAAGAAAGAGGCUGGAAUAUGACCAGCUGAGAGGGGUUUUUACAGGCUCCAGGUUCUUCUUUUUGGCUUCCCUUUUUCUUUGCACCACUGCCAGUCUCUUCUCAAAUCAAUGAGUGCCUUCAGGAGACCAUGAUGGAUAUUUGGGGUCCAGGACUUUAGUAGUUCUCCCCUGGGGGGUCCUUUUUACAGCUCUGAUCUGGCUUCUGGCCUCAUGGCCUUUCUCUUUAGGCUGGUUGCCUGUUGAGGUCCAUUAGGCUAAUGUAGUGUGCAUGCUGGGGCAGAACUUUUCUGCUUGGGUUGGGCACAGCCCCACAAACCUGUCCACUCUAAGAAUGGAAAUGGCAGCUUUCCACUGAGCUCUGUUGAAGGGGCAGCAGCAGCAGCAGCAGCAGCAGCAGCAGGCUUUCUGACUCUCCUCAUUACCCUAGAAUCCUAGGGCAGCCCAAGGAGAUGUCUUUGUCUAGCAUCCAAGUCCUCCCUCUGCUCUGCCCAUCACCUCCACCUUCUUUCCAAUCCUUGAAAGCCCAGGAAGUUUGGACCUGCUGAUCAAGUAAGUGCUGCUGGUCCUCUUAGUGGAUUCAGCCCCUUUCCAUGGAGCCUUCCUUCACCACUGCCUGUCCAAGGUUCUCCCAGUUGGCCCAGCUCUUGGCCAGGACUUCCACAUUCAGCUUAAGAAAGGCUCUCCUCUCCUCUCCCUUGUUGGGCUUGGGUUGAAACAGGUGAUGGCCAUCCCCCUUCUUUCACUCAUGGAAGAAACCCAUGCUGAGAUGCUCUGGGAUUUGCUCAGACUCCUCCUGCUAAGUGUCCAUCCUUGGAAUUUUGUUUCCACCUGACUCCUCCAGGCAAAAAUCAGACUCCAAGAACCAGUAUUUUCAUGGAUAAUCUGCCAGCCGUGCCUCUUUUUUGUGUGGAGGCAGCAUCUGGACAGCAAAGUAUUUUAUUCUGUAUUAAGUCGAUAUGAACCUCCUAAGUGACCUCCAGUGAUGCCUUCCCAUUGGAGGAGAUAGAGGCCCAGGUGUAAGACAGCUAGUUUUGCAGGAAGAGAGAUAGAGAAGGGUGGGGGGCAGUAGGUGGAGGGGGGCAGAGAGAGGGAGGGAGCUGGACUCAAAGACCUGUUUCUGCCCCUUCCUGGCUCUGUGAUCAUAGCCAAGCCCUUGGCCUGGGCUGGCCUGGCCUGGGCUUCCCUUCUUUACUGUGACCAGUUGAGGAAGUCUGAUUAGAUGACCCUUGAGGGCUCUUUUCUGUUAGGCCUCCAUCCCAUACCAACAUACAAGCCCUUUCAGACACACUGGAACCCCACCUCCCUGAGAGCACUCUAAGAGGUUACUGGUUUCUUUUGGGUGCUGUCCUCACUAGCUAGGACAGUGGUUUGAAGCUUUAUCCCUUGGAAUAAAACCCAUGGGUCUUUGUGGACCUGCCUCCAUCAUGAGAGGUUUCCCCCCAAUCUUCUGUGUCCAGCCUCCUUUGAGCUUAAAGGCAUUGACCAUGAAGGUCCUAAUGUUUGUUAGGUUCCAGUUGCAAAUUUCUAUCAGUUUGAUAGGUGUCUUGGGGCUUGAGAUGAGGGUCCACUGGUCUUCUCUCCUUAAGAGGCUGAGCCUCCAAGUAGGCUUUGAGUGCAUUCCAUGGCAUCUCUCACUUUUAUCCAGUUCCAGCCCUUGAGGGACCAUGAAUGGUGUCAUUAGCAUCUUCCUUGAUAAGGCUGCUUAUCUUCUCCCAACAAUCCCACCCCAGCCUCCAUUCACCCCACCCCUCCCACCCCCACCCCCACCAUGUAUUCCCAGCCUUCCCUCUGCCUAGACUUAGUGUCCCAUGCUUCCCUAGUCUCUAGGACUUCAUUCCUGGCUAUUCUCCCAACCCCCUUCCAAUCCUUUCCACCUCCUUAAUUGCUGCUGCCUGUGGAGGUUUUCUCACUGACUGACUGCUGCCAUUCCUGGAUGAAAAUCUGAAGACUGGUGACCCACAGCUGUUUGGCCAUCUAUCCCUCUGUCACCCCUGAAAAAGAACCGGGCAUGUUGCCUGCUCAUGAAGGUGGGCUCCUAUAUGUUUUCUGUCUAUUCCUGUGCAGGGAUUAGUUUCCUUUUUCUCUCUCACUUCCUGCUGAGAGGACCUAAUGAUUUUCCUUUUCAGUCUUAUCUGCAGAGAAAUAUUGCCUACUUCAGUGAUCUAAGUCACUAUCUAUCUAUCUAUCUAUCUAUCUAUCUAUCUAUCUAUCUAUCUAUCUAUCUAUCCAUCCUUCCACCUAUCCAUCAAUCUAUCUAUCUUUAUUCAUGUAUUGAUCCAUCUAACCAUCUAAUGUACAUCAAUCCAUUCAUCUAGCUAGCUAUCCAUCUCUAUCAAUCCAUCCAUCUACGUCUCCAUCUCUAUCUAUCCAUCCAUCUGCCCUUCUGUCUGUCCAUCAAUUUAUCCAUCCAGCCAUGUAUCUAUCCGUCUAUCGAUCCACCUACUCUUGGUUAUCGUCUUUCAUAUACAGUAAAUGCUAGUAUUUAUGGAUCUGAAUUUGAAAAUAGUGGACAAUUCUUUUUUUUAUUUUUUUUAUUUUUUUAAAAAAUAUAUUUUAUUUGAUCAUUUCCAAGCAUUAUUUGUUAAAGACAUAAAUCAUUUUCUUUUCCUACCCCCCAACCCCCAUAGCCGACGCGGAAGGCCACUGGGCAUUAGAUGUUUUCUUGAUUUGAACCCAUUGCUUUGUUGUUAGUAUUUGCAUUAGAGUGUUCAUUUAGAGUCUAUCCUCUGUCAUGUCCCCUCAACCUCUGUAUUCAGGCAGUUGCUUUUUCUCGGUGUUUCUACUCCCAUAGUUUAUCCUUUGCUUAUGAAUAGUGUUUUUUUCUCCUGGAUCCCUGCAAGUUGUUCAGGGACAUUACACCGCCACUAAUGGAGAAGUCCAUUACAUUCGAUUGUACCACAGUGUAUCAGUCUCUGUGUACAAUGUUCUCCUGGUUCUGCUCCUCUCGCUCUGCAUCACUUCCUGGAGGUUGUUCCAGUCUCCAUGGAACUCCUCCACUUUAUUAUUCCUUUUAGCACAAUAGUAUUCCAUCACCAACAUAUACCACAGUUUGUUCAGCGAUUCCCCAAUUGAUGGGCAUCCCCUCGUUUUCCAGUUUUGGGCCACCACAAAGAGUGCAGCUAUGAAUAUUCUUGUACAAGUCUUUUUCUCCAUUAUCUCUUUGGGGUACAGACCCAGUAGUGCUAUGGCUGGAUCAAAGGGUAGACAUUCUUUUGGGGGACAAUUCUUUUUGAAGAGAAUUGAGUGGUGGCUCUAUUCUCUGUAGAAGUUUUCUCAAGUUAUUGCUCUAUUAAUCCUCUAAUUCUUCUCUCUGUUUGUGCUCAGGAGACCUUAAGGUUUCUCUUGUUGUCUCGCUCUUCUCUCUCUGUCUCUGUCUCAGGUAUCUGUAUAUUCCUUGUGAUACUCUUCCAUAAACAAUAAACUUAAGUGUAUGUAUAUGCGUAUGAAAUAGAUGACCAUUUUACUGGAAGUGAACUGAAAGGUACUCCUGUUGUCUAUCUUCAGUAUUCCUGUAUUGUUUCUCUACUCUUAGGAAUGGCACCUAUGUUCACCCUCUAUUAAUGAAUUUGAGCCAUUCUUCAUGAGUGAGUAUUCAUGAUAUCUUCUUGUUGAUUUCCUUUCCCUUGAGCGGAUUUUACAUGUCAAGCCUGCCAGCAAACCCCUAUUCCUUUGUGAAUCCUGGCAGCUGUCCCUCUUUGUGGGUGUGGAGGCAACAGCCCCAAACACAGUAUUGAAUUGUAUGAGGUCACUAUGGGCGCUCUUUGUGACCUAAAGGCUGUGAUGCUUGUGUGGUGGAGGAGAAGGGCUAUGUGAGCUGGGCUGGCAGGAAGAGACCUAGAGAGAGAGGUGUGCUCCCAGGUGUCUCUCUGCCCCUUCCUGACUGUGUGAUCUUGGCAUAGCCCCUGCCCUGCCCUACCCUGCCCUGCCCUGCCCUGCCUUUGUCCUCCAAAGAGGAAAGUGGAGCAGAGGACCUCUGUGAUGUCUCUUAGCCCAUCACCCUACAAACUCUUUCAGAUCCAAGCCCCAUGGCGCUCAGAAAUGUGCCUGGCUGCUGUUUUCCCUUGGGGCACCAUCUGAGUAGCUAGUUCAGUCUUUGUGCAGAGCUGCUAGCUUGGAAGAGGACCAUGGGUCUUUGUGAAUUGGGCUGUAGCACCCAUGCUUCCCGCCCUCCUCCCCUGGCCCCGAACCUCCAUCCCCAACCCCCAAGGCUUUGGUGAUUGGCCCCCCGCGAGCCCAAAGGGGGUGAAGGCGAAGGCAAAGGCGAAGGCGAAGGUUCGAACGUUGCUUGGAUAACAGUUGCGAACUACAUUCGACGGGUGUCCAGGGGUCUUGGGGCUUGAGCUCUCAGUGGCCAUUGGGCUUCUCUCCUUAGGCAGCGGAGCCUCUACUAGGCUUUGACUGGGUCCCAUGGCGUGUCUGUCUUGUCUCUCUUCUCUCCCAUCCAUUGCCAGCCCUCGGGAGACCCGGAGACAAGCGGAGCUGAGUUCUAUCUGGAGGUGUGGCGCUGAGCGCGAGAGUGUUGACAUCAGCACCCCUUCGGUGAGGCUCCCUUUCUUCUCCCGCCAACGCAGCCCCAUCCUCCAUUUGCCCCCACCAUGCAGCACACCCCCUUCCCUCUGCCUAGAUUCAGCUCUGCAAGCCUGCCGACUCUGUCUCGGACUCUGUGCCCUCCUGCCCACUCCUUUCCCUCUCCCAAUGCCCAUCCCUGGCGCUGGACAUGGAUGGAAGGGACCACAGACACCAGCACAGAUGCCUAGGGACCCUCAGCUGUCUCUCCAACUUCCAUUACUCUAUAAAACCUCCCAGUUGGAAGGCUCCCAUAUGUCCUCAGUCUAUUCAUGUCAAGGGCUCCUCUUCCCCUCCCUGUCUCUUCUCUCUGUCCCUCUCUCUCUUCUCUCUGUCCCCCCCCUCUCUCUCCCUCCCUCUCUCUCUCUCUUUCUCUCUCUCUCUCUCUCUCUCUCUCUCUCUCUCUCUCUCUCUCUCUCUCUCUCUCUCUUCUCUCUGUCCCUCUCUCUUUCUGCUUAGGAGACUGUAAAGCUUCUCUGUACAGUCCUCCAUGCAGUAGGAUAUUGUCUACUUGAAUUAUGUGAUUCGUAUUCCUGAUUUUAUUCUUUCAUAUAGAGCAAAGAUUUGCACUCCUCUAUAUGAAUAUUUAAUGUGACAACUCCUAGGAAGAGGAGAGAAGGAUAGUCUUCCUCCACAGGAGUACACAGUCCCUCUUGGUGUAUAGGGCUCAUCCUCCCUGAGGAGUUAUUAUAUGUUCUCCUGAGUAUUCCUUUACAUAUUUAUAUUCUCCAUAUGUUCUCCCCCUUCGAUACUCUCCAUAGGAGAAGAGGUGUAUAAUAUGUCAGAUUCUCUGAGGUGAUUGUGCCGCGGUGAGUAUUGCUGUGUGGGUUUCUGGUACAACAACAUCUCUUUAUCCAACUUUAUAAGAAAGAGGCUGGAAUAUGACCAGCUGAGAGGGGUUUUUACAGGCUCCAGGUUCUUCUUUUUGGCUUCCCUUUUUCUUUGCACCACUGCCAGUCUCUUCUCAAAUCAAUGAGUGGCUUCAGGAGACCAUGAUGGAUAUUUGGGGUCCAGGACUUUAGUAGUUCUCCCCUGGGGGGUCCUUUUUACAGCUCUGAUCUGGCUUCUGGCCUCAUGGCCUUUCUAUUUAGGCUGGUUGCCUGUUGAGGUCCAUGAGGCUAAUGCAGUGUGCAUGGUGGGGCAGAACCUUUCUGCUUGGGUUGGGCACAGCCCCACAAACCUGUCCACUCUAAGAAUGGAAAGGGCAGCUUUCCACUGAGCUCUGGAGAAGGGGCAGCAGCAGCAGCAGCAGCAGCAGCAGGAGGCUUUCUGACUCUCCUCAUUGCCCUAGAAUCCUAGGGCAGCCCAAGCAGAUGCAUUUGUCUAGCAUCCAAGUCCUCCCUCUGCUCUGCCCAUCACCUCCACCUUCUUUCCAAUCCUUGAAAGCCCAGGAAGUUUGGACCUGCUGAUCAAGUAAGUGCUGCUGGUCCUCUUAGUGGAUUCAGCCCCUCUCCAUGGAGCCUUCCUUGACCACUGCCUGUCCAAGGUUCUCCCACUUGGCCCAGCUCUUGGCCAGGACUUCCACAUUCAGCUUAGGAAAGGCUCUCCUCUCCUCUCCCUCGUUGGGCUUGGGGUGAAACUGGUGAUGGCCAUCCCCCUUCUUUCACUGAUUGAAGAAACCCAUGCUGAGAUGCAGUGGGGUUUGCUCAGACUCCUCCUGCUAAGUGUCCAUCCUUGGGCUUUUUCUUUCCACCUGACUCCUCCAGGCAAAAAUCAGACUCCAAGAACCAGUAUUUUCAUGGAUAAUCUGCCAGCCGUGCCUCUUUUAUUUGUGGAGGCAGCAUCUGGACAGCAAAGUAUUUUAUUCUGUAUUCAGUCGAUAUGAACCUCCUAAGUGACCUCCAGUGAUGCCUGCCCAUUGGAGGAGAUAGAGGCCCAGGUGUAAGACAGCUAGGCUUGCAGGAAGAGAGAUAGAGAAGGGUGGGGGGCAGUAGGUGGAGGUGGGGCAGAGAGAGGGAGGGAGCUGGACUCAUAGGCCUGUUUCUGCCCCUUCCUGGCUCUGUGAUCAUAGCCAAGCCCUUGGCCUGGCUUGGGCUUCCCUUCUCUACUGUGACCAGUUGAGGAAGUCUGAUUAGAUGACCCUUGAGGGCUCUUUUCUGUUAGGCCUCCAUCCCAUACCAACAUACAAGCCCUUUCAGACACACUGGAACCCCACCUCCCUGAGAGCACUCUAAGAGGUUACUGGUUUCUUUUGGGUGCUGUCCCCACUAGCUAGGACAGUGGUUUGAAGCUUUAUCCCUUGGAAUAAAACCCAUGGGUCUUUGUGGAGCUGUUUUAAGGUCUGAGAUUUCACCCAUCACCAAGGAGGACCCGAGGACAAUCCAGUCAGGCAACAAAGGAGUCGUUUAUUGAAUUGGUUCCCACCAGUGGAAACUCUGCCAUCAGAAUUCUAAGUUGCCUCUGAAAGGGUGGGUCUUAAGUACUUUUCAGCAUGUAUGGCCGUCAUUACAGCCCCUUAUUACAGCCCCAUAUCUGCUACAUACCAUUGUUGGAACCUUGACAAUUUUAUGUUAUUGGGCUCUUCUUGGCCUUCAUCUAGUACCCACUGCAGCUGGUGUUCUGGCAUAUUUAUGGUUCUGAACUCCCAAGGCCAGGCAGCUGCCUGUUAAGGCUGGGCAAUUUCUCGAUCUGGCCUCCCUCAUUUCUGACUUCUUUUUGUUUUGGAGGACAAAGGGAAGGUCUGCCCACUGAGGCAGCUCGUGGCUCUCAGCCCAGGGCUCGGUAGUGGAUAGUGGUCUGUUCUGUGGUAGGGAAACCAACAGCUGGAUGUUAUCCGGCCAGUCUUUCACAAACCGAACAAGGUGGUUAAAAAUGGAGGGGCCAUAUGUUUCGAUUAGGGUUAAAAUUAUAAGGGGUCCUAUAAGAGACAUGACUAGGGUAGUGAGCCAGGGAGAGGAGUUGAAAAGGUGGGUGUACCAGGGGCCGGCAGUUUCUCUCUCCUUCUGCCGGGCUUCUAGACCUUCAUGUAGCUUGCUCAGGGAGUCCCUAAUAAUCCUAGAGUGGUUAACAUAGAAGCAGCAUUCUUUGCCCAAAGCUGCACAGAGGCCCCCUUAAGGAAGAGGAGGUCCAAAUCUCGUCAAUUUUGAAGGACAACCUUGGCUAAGGAGGCAUGGGAUUUUUCAAGGAAGUUAGUUGAGGAUUCCAGCUUAGCUAUACCCUCAUCGACCGACUUUUGGAGGUGUUGGUACCCCUGAGCCUGUGUGGCGAGGGCAGCAAUGCCCAGCCCUGCCCCUGUCGCUGCUAAGAGGGUGGCUACAGUGAUGGCAGUAGUGACAGGUUCUCACCUCCAUCGCCUAGACGAUAUGUGGUCCCACAUCUGAAGGAUGUCCUGCUCAGCAUUGUAGGUCACUCGGGGUACUAUUGUGACGGGUGUGCAGAACUCGUGGCGGUCAAUGAGGGAGCUAGGGUAGACACAGGGCUGAAGCCCAGAGCGGGAGCACAGCCAGUGUGUUCCUGCAGGUGGGAUAAGGUAUCUCCCCGUUGAGGGAUACUCUGUGGUUGUGCAAAGGCGGGGGUUGGGGUGGCUGGAUUUUCCUGCUACACAGUUGACGCACCAGAUCAGUGCAGAAAGGGUUAAGCCAUGGCCGGGUUUCCCAGGGCCCAUGUCACACCAGG